Molecule: ribosomal RNA, 898 nt
Filed under: uncultured bacterium
Lineage: Bacteria
Description: bacterial SSU rRNA
Rfam family: Bacterial small subunit ribosomal RNA
Source: RNAcentral
UGAGUACAGCGGCGCACGGGUGCGUAACACGUGGGUAACCUACCCCUAAGACUGGGAUAACCCGUCGAAAGAUGGGCUAAUACCGGGUAAUACCUUGAGGAGUAGACUUCUUGGGGCCAAAAGGGGCUUUCUGCGGAAGGCUUCUACUGAGGGAUGGGCCCGCGGCCUAUCAGCUGGUUGGUGAGGUAAGAGCUCACCAAGGCGAAGACGGGUAGCUGGUCUGAGAGGAUGACCAGCCACACGGGGAUUGAGAUACGGCCCCGACUCCUACGGGAGGCAGCAGUGGGGAAUCUUGGGCAAUGGGCGCAAGCCUGACCCAGUGACGCCGCGUGGGUGAUGAAGGCCUUCGGGUCGUAAAGCCCUGUCAGGCGGAGCGAAUCUCCUAGGGGUGAAGAGCCCCGAGGACUGACGGUACCGUCAAAGGAAGCAUCGGCUAACUCUGUGCCAGCAGCCGCGGUAAGACAGAGGAUGCGAGCGUUGUUCGGAAUUAUUGGGCGUAAAGGGUGCGUAGGCGGUUCCAUCCGUCUGGCGUGAAAACCCGAGGCUCAGCCUCGGAAGGGCACCAGAAACCAUGGAACUCGAGGACCGGAGGGGAGAGUGGAAUUCCCGGUGUAGCGGUGAAAUGCGUAGAGAUCGGGAGGAAUACCGGUGGCGAAAGCGACUCUCUGGACGGUCACUGACGCUGAGGCACGAAAGCGUGGGGAGCAAACAGGAUUAGAUACCCUGGUAGUCCACGCCGUAAACGAUGGGCACGAGACGUUGGGGGGUUACUCCUCCAGUGUCGUCGCUAACGUACUAAGUGCCCCGCCUGGGAAGUACGGCCGCAAGGUUGAAACUCAAAAGAAUUGACGGGGGCCCGCACAAGCGGUGGAGUAUGUGGUUCAAUUCGAUGCAACGC